CUCACGUCAGAGACUAGCGACUGCACGCCGUGGGCUGAGAGCAUCGCGAGAGAUGAGAGCUGCUGGCACGGAUCAAUUACACCUCCAAAGAAGCGUCCAGCCUAGAGAUAACUGGCCAGGGUCAAAAAUACCAAAUAGGAUGAGAGCGAAGAGGAUACAGCUAACAGACAGCAGAGCAGAGGGAAGCAUGGGUACGGCACGAGCAUGGGCACGCAGAUGCUGUACAUGGUGCUUUAUGAUGCUCGGACUUUGACGAAUCCGAAAAGGAUGGAUAUUUUAUUUCUUUGACUGUCUUUUGGAGGGAAGGCAUCCCCGAAGAGAUCUGUUGCCUGCUUUGUUUUCCAAAUCUUGGUACACAGCACUCGAUCCUGAUAAAGAAAGAUGCUGUAAAUGGUGUCA
Molecule: long non-coding RNA, 399 nt
Organism: Rattus norvegicus (Norway rat)
Lineage: Eukaryota; Metazoa; Chordata; Mammalia; Rodentia; Muridae
Source: RefSeq, a predicted model, not a curated record